GAAUGUGAGCAUGAUCUAGCUGUGACAUCUGUCUCUCCAUUAAUUGCCAGAGUUGAUUCAGAUGAUCUGGCUGGCUAAGCAAGUGUCCCCUUCCUCCCUUACCCAUUUCAUGUGCAUCUUUCCCAAAGCUGAACACUUGGUUGAAGAGGACGAUCUUCCCUCAUAGGGAAAGACCACUUCUAGGUCAAGGGUACAUGAGUAGCUGCACUUUGCUGCUAGAACCUCCAAACAACCUCUCAAGAAUGGAUUAUUUGAAAAAUAAGAGAAGUAGCCCAAAUGACUCUAUAAUUCUAACAUAUGUCUGACACAUACCUGAGGGGUU
Molecule: unclassified non-coding RNA, 322 nt
Organism: Ictidomys tridecemlineatus (thirteen-lined ground squirrel)
Lineage: Eukaryota; Metazoa; Chordata; Mammalia; Rodentia; Sciuridae
Gene: 7SK
Rfam family: 7SK RNA
About the family: 7SK was discovered as an abundant small nuclear RNA in the mid-70s but a possible function has only recently been suggested. Two independent studies have found that 7SK RNA binds the CDK9/cyclin T complex (known as elongation factor P-TEFb).
Source: Ensembl